This 256-nucleotide ribosomal RNA is filed under the name uncultured bacterium. Its description in RNAcentral is "partial 16S ribosomal RNA". It matches the Rfam family "Bacterial small subunit ribosomal RNA", at positions 524 to 776 of the family's 1533-position model. The record is from RNAcentral.
UACGUAGGGGGCAAGCGUUGUCCGGAUUCAUUGGGCGUAAAGAGCGUGUAGGCGGCCAGGUAGGUCGGUUGUGAAAACUGGAGGCUCAACCUUCAGAGGUCGACCGAAACCAUCUGGCUAGAGUCCGGGAGAGGAGAGUGGAAUUCCUGGUGUAGCGGUGAAAUGCGCAGAUAUCAGGAAGAACACCCGUGGCGAAAGCGGCUCUCUGGAACGGUACUGACGCUGAGACGCGAAAAGCGUGGGGGAGCGAAACAGG